RNAcentral lists this ribosomal RNA (254 nucleotides) under uncultured bacterium. RNAcentral describes it as "partial 16S ribosomal RNA". It matches the Rfam family "Bacterial small subunit ribosomal RNA", at positions 524 to 776 of the family's 1533-position model. The record is from RNAcentral.
UACGUAGGGUGCGAGCGUUGUCCGGAAUUAUUGGGCGUAAAGAGCUCGUAGGCGGUGUGUCACGUCGGCCGUGAAAACCUGCAGCUUAACUGUGGGCGUGCGGUCGAUACGGGCAUCACUGGAGUUCGGCAGGGGAGACUGGAAUUCCUGGUGUAGCGGUGAAAUGCGCAGAUAUCAGGAGGAACACCGGUGGCGAAGGCGGGUCUCUGGGCCGUUACUGACGCUGAGGAGCGAAAGCGUGGGGAGCGAACAGG